AGCUUUGCGCAGUGGCAGUAUCAUAGCCAAUGAGGUUUAUCCGAGGCAUGAUUAUUGCUAAUUGAAACCCCUUAUCAGCCUAACUUCCUUCCAAGAUGGAGGCAUAGGUAGAUACACUUUGCUUCUUCACACAACCAAAAGA
Artibeus jamaicensis (Jamaican fruit-eating bat) is the source of this 142-nucleotide small nuclear RNA. RefSeq annotates it as U4 spliceosomal RNA. The transcript has a single exon. Lineage: Eukaryota; Metazoa; Chordata; Mammalia; Chiroptera; Phyllostomidae. The record is from RefSeq and is a predicted model, not a curated record.